RNAcentral lists this ribosomal RNA (812 nucleotides) under uncultured archaeon. RNAcentral's name for it is "bacterial SSU rRNA". It matches the Rfam family "Archaeal small subunit ribosomal RNA", at positions 36 to 848 of the family's 1478-position model. The record is from RNAcentral.
GUGUUCGAUUAAGCCAUGCGAGUUAAAUGUUCUUCGUGAACAUAGCAGACUGCUCAGUAACACGUGGAUAACCUGCCCUUAGGACUGGCAUAACCCCGGGAAACUGGGGAUAAUUCCGGAUAGAUCAUAAAUGCUGGAAUGCUUUAUGAUUGAAAGGUUUCGACCGCCUUAGGAUGGAUCUGCGGCCUAUCAGGUUGUAGUGGGUGUAAUGUACCUACUAGCCUACGACGGGUACGGGUUGUGGAAGCAAGAGCCCGGAGAUGGAUUCUGAGACAUGAAUCCAGGCCCUACGGGGCGCAGCAGGCGCGAAAACUUUACAAUGCGGGAAACCGUGAUAAGGGAACACUGAGUGCUAGCAUUUAUGUUAGCUGUCCACAUGUGUAAAUAGCAUGUGAUAGCAAGGGCUGGGCAAGACCGGUGCCAGCCGCCGCGGUAACACCGGCAGCCCGAGUGGUGAUCACUAUUAUUGGGUCUAAAGGGUCCGUAGCCGGUUUAAUCAGUCUUCUGGGAAAUCUAAUCGCUUAACUAUUAGGCUUCCAGGGGAUACUGUUAGACUUGGGACCGGGAGAGGUAAGAGGUACUGCAGGGGUAGGAGUGAAAUCUUGUAAUCCCUGUGAGACCACCAGUGGCGAAGGCGUCUUACCAGAACGGGUCCGACGGUGAGGGACGAAAGCUGGGGGCACGAACCGGAUUAGAUACCCGGGUAGUCCCAGCUGUAAACGAUGCUCGUUAGGUGUCAGGAACGGUGCGACUGUUUCUGGUGCCGAAGGGAAGCCGUGAAACGAGCCACCUGGGGAAGUACGGCCGCAAGG